GAUGAACGCUAGCUACAGGCUUAACACAUGCAAGUCGAGGGGCAGCAUGACGAUAGCUUGCUAUUGUUGAUGGCGACCGGCGCACGGGUGAGUAACGCGUAUCCAACCUGCCCUUGUCCAUCGGAUAACCCGUCGAAAGGCGGCCUAACACGAUAUGCAGUUCUCCGCAGGCAUCUAACGAGAACGAAAUGUAAAGGAGAAGGAUGGGGAUGCGUCUGAUUAGCUUGGUGGCGGAGUAACGGCCCACCAAGGCGACGAUCAGUAGGGGUUCUGAGAGGAAGGUCCCCCACAUUGGAACUGAGACACGGUCCAAACUCCUACGGGAGGCAGCAGUGAGGAAUACUGGUCAAUGGGCGAGAGCCUGAACCAGCCAAGUAGCGUGCAGGACGACGGCCCUAUGGGUUGUAAACUGCUUUUAUGCGGGGAUAAAGUGAGCCACGUGUGGCUUAUUGCAGGUACCGCAUGAAUAAGGACCGGCUAAUUCCGUGCCAGCCGCCGCCGUAA
RNAcentral lists this ribosomal RNA (504 nucleotides) under uncultured bacterium. Its description in RNAcentral is "partial 16S ribosomal RNA". It matches the Rfam family "Bacterial small subunit ribosomal RNA", at positions 28 to 523 of the family's 1533-position model. The record is from RNAcentral.